Molecule: unclassified non-coding RNA, 2324 nt
Filed under: Hevea brasiliensis (rubber tree)
Lineage: Eukaryota; Viridiplantae; Streptophyta; Magnoliopsida; Malpighiales; Euphorbiaceae
Source: RNAcentral
GUUCACUUCGUGUUUGCUUUUCCUUUACUGUUUCUCUCUCUUUCUAUCUCUCUCUCUCUCCCCCCUUUCAGCAGUUUCCUCCAUUGCAAACCAAGCUUCCAUUCAAGCUUUCUGAGGGGCCCCUAUCUAUUCUCCACAUACAUACAAGACCCAUUAACCAUUUCACCCAUCUCUGCCUUUUUCCCCAAAAAUCAUCCAUUUUAUAUUAAAGUCUCUCUUUCUUUCUCUGUACACAUUUGCUUUUGAACAUUAGAUUUUUCUCUGGCUUCCUUUGCCGUUUCUUUUUAUCAUUCACCGAGUUUUUUUUUGCCACCACUUGUGCUUCUAAACUACUCAUCUAUGCAACUGUGCCUUUUUAGGCCUCUGGUUUGGUGGGUUUGUAUUAUUUGAAGACUGACGUCUACAUUGGGCCAUCUAUGCUUAUUGAAUUUCACUUGCAUCCAAAAAGGGAAGCCCUUUCUUUGCUUUUGUUGAUGCUCGAGGAAGAAGAUCAAGGGGGCUAGCUUAUACCCUUGGAUCGCUGCAAAGGUGGGCAUGUGUUGAUUUAUUGGCAUAUUAAGCGUGACCACCAAAUACAAUUUUGACUGUGGAGGAUCACAGAUGUCGUCUGAGAGUCUGAAUGCAGAAUUAUCAAAGAAGACAUCAAUUUUGGGUUUAAAAUUGUGGGUGUUAAUUGGAGUAUCUGUUGGAGCUUUUAUAAUUUUGAUUCUCUGUAUCCUGUCUGUAUGGGUUACGUUUCGGCGGAGAACUAGAAGAUCAGUGGACAAGUUCUCACUUUGUCAAAUACCAAAUGUGUCGAAGGAUAUCAAUGUUGACAGGGUUGGGGCUCAGAGUUUCAAUGAUCACCCCGGAAGUUUAUACCUCACCGUCCAUGAUAAAUCAACAGAUAAGAACUCAGAAAAGACACCAGUUUUGGGAAUGAGCAAAUCGAGUGAUGCUGAUAACAUCAGCCAAACUAGUUCAAUUUAUCAUCAUGAAAGAGGAUUUAGUUCGCACUCAGGGGAAGAAGGAAGCUCUGGGACUGUGAAGAAGCAGUCUUCAUUGUCAUAUGCAGGACUUGUGACAGCCUCCCCUUUAGUUGGCCUGCCAGAAAUUUCACAUCUUGGAUGGGGCCACUGGUUCACUCUCAGGGAUCUUGAGUUUGCAACAGACCGUUUUGCAGCAGAGAAUGUGAUUGGUGAGGGUGGUUAUGGGAUUGUUUAUAGGGGUAGGCUAAUCAAUGGAACUGAGGUAGCUGUGAAGAAGCUUCUUAACAAUCUGGGACAAGCAGAGAAAGAAUUUAGGGUUGAAGUGGAGGCCAUUGGUCAUGUUCGUCAUAAGAACCUAGUACGGCUUCUUGGCUACUGUAUUGAAGGAGUGCACAGGAUGCUGGUGUAUGAAUAUGUUAACAAUGGCAAUUUAGAACAAUGGCUACAUGGAGCAAUGUGCCAUCUUGGUACCCUGACAUGGGAGGCUCGCAUGAAGAUUCUUCUUGGCACUGCUAAGGCGCUUGCCUAUUUGCAUGAAGCAAUUGAACCAAAGGUUGUUCACCGAGACAUAAAGUCAAGUAAUAUCUUGAUCGAUGAUGAGUUUAAUGCUAAGGUUUCUGAUUUUGGAUUGGCCAAGCUCCUAGGUUCAGGAGAAAGCCACAUCACAACUAGAGUUAUGGGUACAUUUGGUUAUGUUGCGCCAGAAUAUGCUAAUACUGGCUUGUUAAAUGAGAAGAGUGACAUUUACAGCUUUGGUGUACUGCUGCUAGAAGCAGUCACUGGAAGGGACCCUGUGGACUAUAGCCGGCCUGUUAAUGAGGUCAAUCUUGUUGAGUGGCUAAAGAUGAUGGUGGGGACAAGAAGAGCUGAGGAAGUUCUGGACCCAAAUCUUGAAGUUAAACCAACAACACGAGCUUUAAAACAUGCUCUUUUAGCUGCAGUUAGGUGUGUUGAUCCUGAUGCAGAAAAGAGACCCAAAAUGAGUCAGGUUGUGCAAAUGCUUGAAGCAGAUGAGUACCCUUUUCGUGAGGACCGAAGGAACAGAAAGAGUCGUACGGCAAGCAUUGAAAUUGAGUCCAUGAAGGAAUCAACUGACAUGGAAAACAAGGUGGGAGAUUCAGAGAGCAAUUUCUCUGAAAUGAAUCGUGGAUAGGACUGACAAAAUUGAUCCAGAGGAAGAGUUGCUUUCUCAUCUCCUAUUUCAAAGUCUUAAAAUACAGCUAAAGUUUCAUCUUGACUUCCCUGUAUGCGAGGGAGGAAAUGGAUACAAGAUUAGCCUAUUUAGACUGUGUAGUGAUCACCAUCUCUCUUGUUGGAGUUUCCUUCAUCAGUAUGGAUUGAUGAAGAGAUGUUUUU